This 2928-nucleotide ribosomal RNA is filed under the name Escherichia coli. RNAcentral's name for it is "bacterial LSU rRNA". It matches the Rfam family "Bacterial large subunit ribosomal RNA". Lineage: Bacteria; Pseudomonadati; Pseudomonadota; Gammaproteobacteria; Enterobacterales; Enterobacteriaceae. The record is from RNAcentral.
GGGUUGUGAGGUUAAGCGACUAAGCGUACACGGUGGAUGCCCUGGCAGUCAGAGGCGAUGAAGGACGUGCUAAUCUGCGAUAAGCGUCGGUAAGGUGAUAUGAACCGUUAUAACCGGCGAUUUCCGAAUGGGGAAACCCAGUGUGUUUCGACACACUAUCAUUAACUGAAUCCAUAGGUUAAUGAGGCGAACCGGGGGAACUGAAACAUCUAAGUACCCCGAGGAAAAGAAAUCAACCGAGAUUCCCCCAGUAGCGGCGAGCGAACGGGGAGGAGCCCAGAGCCUGAAUCAGUGUGUGUGUUAGUGGAAGCGUCUGGAAAGGCGCGCGAUACAGGGUGACAGCCCCGUACACAAAAAUGCACAUGCUGUGAGCUCGAUGAGUAGGGCGGGACACGUGGUAUCCUGUCUGAAUAUGGGGGGACCAUCCUCCAAGGCUAAAUACUCCUGACUGACCGAUAGUGAACCAGUACCGUGAGGGAAAGGCGAAAAGAACCCCGGCGAGGGGAGUGAAAAAGAACCUGAAACCGUGUACGUACAAGCAGUGGGAGCCUCUUUAUGGGGUGACUGCGUACCUUUUGUAUAAUGGGUCAGCGACUUAUAUUCUGUAGCAAGGUUAACCGAAUAGGGGAGCCGAAGGGAAACCGAGUCUUAACUGGGCGUUAAGUUGCAGGGUAUAGACCCGAAACCCGGUGAUCUAGCCAUGGGCAGGUUGAAGGUUGGGUAACACUAACUGGAGGACCGAACCGACUAAUGUUGAAAAAUUAGCGGAUGACUUGUGGCUGGGGGUGAAAGGCCAAUCAAACCGGGAGAUAGCUGGUUCUCCCCGAAAGCUAUUUAGGUAGCGCCUCGUGAAUUCAUCUCCGGGGGUAGAGCACUGUUUCGGCAAGGGGGUCAUCCCGACUUACCAACCCGAUGCAAACUGCGAAUACCGGAGAAUGUUAUCACGGGAGACACACGGCGGGUGCUAACGUCCGUCGUGAAGAGGGAAACAACCCAGACCGCCAGCUAAGGUCCCAAAGUCAUGGUUAAGUGGGAAACGAUGUGGGAAGGCCCAGACAGCCAGGAUGUUGGCUUAGAAGCAGCCAUCAUUUAAAGAAAGCGUAAUAGCUCACUGGUCGAGUCGGCCUGCGCGGAAGAUGUAACGGGGCUAAACCAUGCACCGAAGCUGCGGCAGCGACACUAUGUGUUGUUGGGUAGGGGAGCGUUCUGUAAGCCUGUGAAGGUGUGCUGUGAGGCAUGCUGGAGGUAUCAGAAGUGCGAAUGCUGACAUAAGUAACGAUAAAGCGGGUGAAAAGCCCGCUCGCCGGAAGACCAAGGGUUCCUGUCCAACGUUAAUCGGGGCAGGGUGAGUCGACCCCUAAGGCGAGGCCGAAAGGCGUAGUCGAUGGGAAACAGGUUAAUAUUCCUGUACUUGGUGUUACUGCGAAGGGGGGACGGAGAAGGCUAUGUUGGCCGGGCGACGGUUGUCCCGGUUUAAGCGUGUAGGCUGGUUUUCCAGGCAAAUCCGGAAAAUCAAGGCUGAGGCGUGAUGACGAGGCACUACGGUGCUGAAGCAACAAAUGCCCUGCUUCCAGGAAAAGCCUCUAAGCAUCAGGUAACAUCAAAUCGUACCCCAAACCGACACAGGUGGUCAGGUAGAGAAUACCAAGGCGCUUGAGAGAACUCGGGUGAAGGAACUAGGCAAAAUGGUGCCGUAACUUCGGGAGAAGGCACGCUGAUAUGUAGGUGAAGCGACUUGCUCGUGGAGCUGAAAUCAGUCGAAGAUACCAGCUGGCUGCAACUGUUUAUUAAAAACACAGCACUGUGCAAACACGAAAGUGGACGUAUACGGUGUGACGCCUGCCCGGUGCCGGAAGGUUAAUUGAUGGGGUUAGCGCAAGCGAAGCUCUUGAUCGAAGCCCCGGUAAACGGCGGCCGUAACUAUAACGGUCCUAAGGUAGCGAAAUUCCUUGUCGGGUAAGUUCCGACCUGCACGAAUGGCGUAAUGAUGGCCAGGCUGUCUCCACCCGAGACUCAGUGAAAUUGAACUCGCUGUGAAGAUGCAGUGUACCCGCGGCAAGACGGAAAGACCCCGUGAACCUUUACUAUAGCUUGACACUGAACAUUGAGCCUUGAUGUGUAGGAUAGGUGGGAGGCUUUGAAGUGUGGACGCCAGUCUGCAUGGAGCCGACCUUGAAAUACCACCCUUUAAUGUUUGAUGUUCUAACGUUGACCCGUGAUCCGGGUUGCGGACAGUGUCUGGUGGGUAGUUUGACUGGGGCGGUCUCCUCCUAAAGAGUAACGGAGGAGCACGAAGGUUGGCUAAUCCUGGUCGGACAUCAGGAGGUUAGUGCAAUGGCAUAAGCCAGCUUGACUGCGAGCGUGACGGCGCGAGCAGGUGCGAAAGCAGGUCAUAGUGAUCCGGUGGUUCUGAAUGGAAGGGCCAUCGCUCAACGGAUAAAAGGUACUCCGGGGAUAACAGGCUGAUACCGCCCAAGAGUUCAUAUCGACGGCGGUGUUUGGCACCUCGAUGUCGGCUCAUCACAUCCUGGGGCUGAAGUAGGUCCCAAGGGUAUGGCUGUUCGCCAUUUAAAGUGGUACGCGAGCUGGGUUUAGAACGUCGUGAGACAGUUCGGUCCCUAUCUGCCGUGGGCGCUGGAGAACUGAGGGGGGCUGCUCCUAGUACGAGAGGACCGGAGUGGACGCAUCACUGGUGUUCGGGUUGUCAUGCCAAUGGCACUGCCCGGUAGCUAAAUGCGGAAGAGAUAAGUGCUGAAAGCAUCUAAGCACGAAACUUGCCCCGAGAUGAGUUCUCCCUGACUCCUUGAGAGUCCUGAAGGAACGUUGAAGACGACGACGUUGAUAGGCCGGGUGUGUAAGCGCAGCGAUGCGUUGAGCUAACCGGUACUAAUGAACCGUGAGGCUUAACCUUACAACGCCGAAGCUGUU